Molecule: long non-coding RNA, 227 nt
Filed under: Lathyrus oleraceus (garden pea)
Lineage: Eukaryota; Viridiplantae; Streptophyta; Magnoliopsida; Fabales; Fabaceae
Description: Pisum sativum (pea) long non-coding RNA (PSAT_LNC027548)
Source: RNAcentral
GAAAUCAACAAUACUUGAAAGCAGAUAAGUACUUAACAUGCAAAGAAAAAUACAAAUGAAAUGCGAGGAAUAGCCAAAUGAUUGCCAGUGCAGAGGAAUCUCUCUCGUGCUUGGUUCACUGCUGGGCUAGCCUUCUUCAGAGUAGUGGUAUUUCUCCUCAUCGAGACUAGUACGAUAAUCAUCUUCAGACCUAUUCUCGGAAAUCUCCUCCACAGUUUGGACUGAUG